Molecule: ribosomal RNA, 450 nt
Filed under: uncultured bacterium
Lineage: Bacteria
Description: partial 16S ribosomal RNA
Rfam family: Bacterial small subunit ribosomal RNA
Source: RNAcentral
GUGGGGAAUAUUCCGCAAUGGACGAAAGUCUGACGGAGCAACGCCGCGUGAGUGAUGAAGGUUUUCGGACUGUAAAGCUCUGUUGUUUAGGACGAAAGUGCCUGUUGCAAAUAGUUACAGGUAUUGACGGUACUGAACGAGGAAGCCACGGCUAACUACGUGCCAGCAGCCGCGGUAAUACGUAGGUGGCAAGCGUUGUCCGGAAUUAUUGGGCGUAAAGAGCAUGUAGGCGGGAAUCUAAGUCUGUUGUGAAAAUGCGGGGCUCAACCCCGUAUUGCGAUAGAAACUGGGGUUCUUGAGUGCAGGAGAAGAAAGGGGAAUUCCCAGUGUAGCGGUGAAAUGCGUAGAUAUUGGGAGGAACACCAGUGGCGAAGGCGCCUUUCUGGACGGUGUCUGACGCUGAGAUGCGAAAGCCAGGGUAGCGAACGGGAUUAGAUACCCCGGUAGUCC